RNAcentral lists this microRNA precursor (95 nucleotides) under Rhodnius prolixus. Its description in RNAcentral is "microRNA miR-2788 precursor". Lineage: Eukaryota; Metazoa; Arthropoda; Insecta; Hemiptera; Reduviidae. The record is from RNAcentral.
UCCCGUGUGCCUAUGUAUGGGGUUUUCAGAGGCACUAGCAUCUUUUAUUUCUUAUAGCCAAUGCCCUUGGAAAUCCCAAACGAAGGCCAUCGAAA